This 265-nucleotide unclassified non-coding RNA is filed under the name Hevea brasiliensis (rubber tree). The record is from RNAcentral. Lineage: Eukaryota; Viridiplantae; Streptophyta; Magnoliopsida; Malpighiales; Euphorbiaceae.
AUACCCUCCCAUGCUAGCCCGCGAGUCAGCAGCGACAAUGGCACCGUCCUUGAAAAUGAAGGCAAGCGUCGUCGUCCCCUUCGCCGGCUUCACCAUCUGGAUCGCGUCCUUCUGGAAACCAUCGAAAUCGCCGCAGAUUGGGAGAUCGAAGGAUGGGGGCUUCGAGAGAUCGGAGAAGAGAUCGUCUGCUCCGGCGAGGAGUGGGGCGUGAGAUUCAAAGCUGCUUGUAUCGAGCUUCAUUGCCGGAGUGGGUAGGGGAGUCGAA